This 97-nucleotide signal recognition particle RNA is filed under the name Rhodospirillales bacterium. RNAcentral's name for it is "signal recognition particle sRNA small type". It matches the Rfam family "Bacterial small signal recognition particle RNA". Rfam says of the family: The signal recognition particle (SRP) is a universally conserved ribonucleoprotein involved in the co-translational targeting of proteins to membranes. The record is from RNAcentral. Lineage: Bacteria; Pseudomonadati; Pseudomonadota; Alphaproteobacteria; Rhodospirillales.
GGAGGCUGGCGGCGGACGGGUCCCUCGCCAACCCGGUCAGGUCCGGAAGGAAGCAGCCGUAACGAUCCGGGCUCGGGCCGACCGUUCAGUCUCCCAC